This 521-nucleotide ribosomal RNA is filed under the name Sepsis duplicata. Its description in RNAcentral is "partial 16S ribosomal RNA". It matches the Rfam family "Bacterial large subunit ribosomal RNA", at positions 1854 to 2600 of the family's 2925-position model. Lineage: Eukaryota; Metazoa; Arthropoda; Insecta; Diptera; Sepsidae. The record is from RNAcentral.
AAACAUGUCUUUUUGUAUUAUUUUUAAAGUCUAACCUGCCCACUGAAUAAAGUUUAAAUGGCCGCAGUAUCCUAACUGUGCAAAGGUAGCAUAAUCAUUAGUCUUUUAAUUGAAGGCUGGUAUGAAUGGUUGGACGAGGUAUUAACUGUUUCAAAUAAAUUUUUUGUAGAAUUUUAUUUUUUAGUCAAAAAGCUAAAAUAUAAUUAAAAGACGAGAAGACCCUAUAAAUCUUUACUUUUUAAUUAUUUUAAUAAUAAAGAUAAAUUUUAUUAUAAUAAUAAAAAAAGUUUUAUUGGGGUGAUAUUAAAAUUUAAAAAACUUUUAAUUUUAUAUAAACAUAAAUUAAUGAGUAAUUGAUCCAUUAUUAUUGAUUAUAAAAUUAAGUUACUUUAGGGAUAACAGCGUAAUUUUUUUGGAGAGUUCUUAUCGAUAAAAAAGAUUGCGACCUCGAUGUUGGAUUAAGAAAAAAUUUAGGUGUAGUUGUUUAAAUAUUAAGUCUGUUCGACUUUUAAUUUCUUACA